Molecule: ribosomal RNA, 497 nt
Filed under: uncultured bacterium
Lineage: Bacteria
Description: partial 16S ribosomal RNA
Rfam family: Bacterial small subunit ribosomal RNA
Source: RNAcentral
GAUGAACGCUGGCGGCGUGCCUAAUACAUGCAAGUCGAGCGAACGGACGAGAAGCUUGCUUCUCUGUUGUUAGCGGCGGACGGGUGAGUAACACGUGGAUAACCUACCUAUAAGACUGGGAUAACUUCGGGAAACCGGAGCUAAUACCGGAUAAUAUUUUGAACCGUAUGGUUCAAGAGUGAAAGACGCUCUUGCUGUCACUUAUAGAUGGAUCCGCGUUGCAUUAGCUGGUUGGUAAGGUAACGGCUUACCAAGGCAACGAUGCAUAGCCGACCUGAGAGGGGGAUCGGCCACACGGGAACGGAGACACGGUCCAGACUCCUACGGGAGGCAGCAGAAGGGAAUCUUCCGCAAUGGGCGAAGGCCUGACGGAGCAACGCCGCGUGAGUGAUGAAGGUCUUCGGAUCGUAAAACUCUGUUAUUAGGGAAGAACAUAUGUGUAAGUAACUGUGCACAACUUGACGGUACCUAAUCAGAAAGCCACGGCUAACUACGUG